This 1329-nucleotide ribosomal RNA is filed under the name Triticum aestivum (bread wheat). Its description in RNAcentral is "partial small subunit ribosomal RNA". Lineage: Eukaryota; Viridiplantae; Streptophyta; Magnoliopsida; Poales; Poaceae. The record is from RNAcentral.
AUGGAUGACACCAUCUUGGCACAAGAAGAAAGCGAUGAGCGCACCGGGGCGGGCGUCAUUCUCAACAAGGAAGACCAGGCCAGAUAUGCUAAACUUUUGCGUCCCAACAUUCCUCCGCCCAUUGAUCCGUACUCCAAUGUGGCAUGGGAGGACUACGACCAGGUAGAGGAGCGCCUUGCACGCGUUCGCAUCACCUGUUACAAGGUACCUCCAGAGGCCGCACAUGAACUCAAGGAACCGGAAGAGUACACCGAGGAUGAACUUUGUCAGGAGUCCUACUUUCGGCAUUUGGAUGAUGAUGAAAGUUUCGAGUGGUUCUUCCAUCGCGACAAUAGCCAGAAACCUGAAUUGAAUGACUACCAACGCAUUGUCCUUCGUAAUUUCCUGCCUGAUAGUUGUGAACGCCAGUACUGCUAUCACGACGAUUACCGCUCACGUUAUCAUACAUAUGAAAUUGAUUCCGUUUAUGUCAAGUACUAUGGAGAAAUAUCAAAGAAAAUAAAGUGGAUUGCAGAUUAUUUGCAUCUGGAUCGCAGUACCGAGGCGCUACUCCAUUUUGCUGAGGUUCACCCGGCAUUGAAUACUGGGCAACUAUGCCAGUCUCCUUGGAGAAACAUGGAUACUAUAGCAUGGAGGCAAGCAUUGAGGAUUGCAACACACUUUCCCCAUAUGACUGUUCGUUUAGCUGCUUUUGCCUAUAAUGAGUACAUUAUUGAGCUGAACACAUAUGCGUCCCUCAAGGACAUAGAUCUUCUCUAUUUUGAGAUAUGGAGGCUUGUCGCCAAGGAAGAUAGGAGAUACUUAGAUGCUGUGAAGGAAGUAUAUGAAAUGGACAAGUUUGCUAUACACAAAAGGGUACUACAUGCUGAACUGAAUGCGUUGCCUGUCUUUGUAACAAUAAAGCAAAUGAUUUAUUCUAUUGUCAAGGAGGGUGGCAUUGAUCUGAAGGCUAAAGAGGAUGAAGCUCGGGCUGUGUUUAGCAAGUUAGCUUUCAGGAAGCAUAAAACAAUGAACAUGGCGCAGUACGCUGAAAAGAAGAUGGAGAUCGCAGAUCGGUUGGGUUUGGACAAAAAGGUACUUGUUUUCCUUUUAGGCGUGACCUUUAUCAAUGUACAAACCCUUGCUCUUGCCCUCCUUUCCCGCUAUUUUCCAAAUCCGCUUCCGUACUCAUUCACUGGUCUGUUGUCACACUUCACUCACGCACCACUGCUUAUCCACCUCAUCGGCGACCGUGUUCCACUAUCCACCCCCUCACUCUCCACCAUCGUCCCCAACCACACAUUUGAGGCUCAUCCCUCAACCCCUCACGACGACCCCAACACAUUGUGA